Molecule: ribosomal RNA, 303 nt
Filed under: uncultured bacterium
Lineage: Bacteria
Description: partial 16S ribosomal RNA
Rfam family: Bacterial small subunit ribosomal RNA
Source: RNAcentral
AGCAGUAGCCGCGGGAAUACGUAGGUGGCAAGCGUUGUCCGGAAUUACUGGGCGUAAAGCGCGCGCAGGUGGUUUAAUAAGUCUGAUGUGAAAGCCCACGGCUCAACCGUGGAGGGUCAUUGGAAACUGUUAAACUUGAGUGCAGGAGAGAAAAGUGGAAUUCCUAGUGUAGCGGUGAAAUGCGUAGAGAUUAGGAGGAACACCAGUGGCGAAGGCGGCUUUUUGGCCUGUAACUGACACUGAGGCGCGAAAGCGUGGGGAGCAAACAGGAUUAGAUACCCCGGUAGUCCCUGUCUCUUAUAC